Molecule: long non-coding RNA, 384 nt
Filed under: Suricata suricatta (meerkat)
Lineage: Eukaryota; Metazoa; Chordata; Mammalia; Carnivora; Herpestidae
Description: lncRNA (ENSSSUG00005018036.1)
Source: RNAcentral
UAACAUUCUGCUUGUCUUCUCUGCAGUAGCAAGGGGAACGAGCAUGCCCCAGAAUACGUGGGAAACCUGUGCAAACUGGUCCUAGGUUUGUAAAAAACAACAACAACAACAAUUGGCUGCAUACUGACCCGGCUUGAAGAAGACAAGAUUUGGAGUCACAGCUCUGUCCAGGCACAAAAGUGUUGCUGUCACCUACGCCCACUUUACUGCUAUCCUCUGGCAUUCGAGAGGGAUGCACUGAUAGUCCUCUGGAAGGGUGACGAUGGUGGUAAAAAAGAUGGAGAGAAAGCUGAUGAACUCACCGUGCAGCUUUAAGUUUAAAUGAGGUAAUGCAGGGAAACAUUAUUUGAAGAUAUAACGUGAUAUACAAGUAUAAAUUAUUAA